UACGUAGGGUGCGAGCGUCGUCCGGAAUUACUGGGCGUAAAGAGCUCGUAGGUGGUUUGUCGCGUUGUCCGUGAAAACUCACAACUCAAUUGUGGGCGUGCGGGCGAUACGGGCAGACUGGAGUACUGCAGGGGAGACUGGAAUUCCUGGUGUAGCGGUGGAAUGCGCAGAUAUCAGGAGGAACACCGGUGGCGAAGGCAGCUCGCUGGGACGGUACUGACGCUGAGGUGCGAAAGCGUGGGGAGCAAACAGG
Molecule: ribosomal RNA, 253 nt
Filed under: uncultured bacterium
Lineage: Bacteria
Description: partial 16S ribosomal RNA
Rfam family: Bacterial small subunit ribosomal RNA
Source: RNAcentral